GCUUGAACGGUUUAAGGAUGGGUAUACAUUACCUUACUUUCCCAAUCAUGGUAUUCUUGCAGCAAGGCAUCAGAAAUCUUGCCAUAGUGCUCAAGCAAGAAAUGUCAUUUGCAUUGACCAAUAUGGUUUGUUUACUAGCUUAGAUAUAGUCACUUAAAGAUUGAUAAUUUAUCAACCUUAGCAUUUUGUUGAUACAUAAGGUCUUUGCAUGCUCAUUUUUUUAAAUCAAUAUUUCUUCUUUAAAUACUAGCUUCAUGGUAAAUUCUAAAUUUUAUUGCAAAGUUCAUGUUUAAUUACCACCUACCCUCUUUCUUUGUGAUCUUUGUAUGUUUCAUUAUGAUGCUGAUGAUGAUGAUAACCAGAACUUGCAGUGUAUUUUUUCAAAUAGGCCGGCAACAUCAGAAACAAGUUCUGUUUUGUGAGUGUGAAAAAGAUUCAAUAACGUUAAUAAGAUUGAAACUUUGGCCUGGCAGUGCUACUCGUCCCUCUUUAGCUUUUCAUUUUAAGAUGAUGGAGUUGGCUGAAACCUUACUUCUUGAAUGUCAUGUUUCACUUCGAAAAUUCUGCGAUGCUCUAAAAAUAUGGACAAAGUGCUCCUCUUUACCAUUGUGGAACUUGAAAAGGUGUGUGAUAUCAAACAGUGCAUUGUAAGUUUAAGGGACAUUUUAGGAGUGUUUCCCCAUCUCUCCCUCCCCCCAAAAAAAUCCUGUUUGCACAGCUGCCCAUGAUAUAGAUACCCCAG
Molecule: long non-coding RNA, 742 nt
Organism: Xenia sp. Carnegie-2017
Lineage: Eukaryota; Metazoa; Cnidaria; Anthozoa; Malacalcyonacea; Xeniidae
Exons: 3
Source: RefSeq, a predicted model, not a curated record